GACGAACGCUGGCGGCGUGCUUAACACAUGCAAGUCGAACGGAAAGGCCCUGCUUGCAGGGUGCUCGAGUGGCGAACGGGUGAGUAACACGUGGGUGAUCUGCCCCUUACUUUGGGAUAAGCCUGGGAAACUGGGUCUAAUACUGGAUAGGACCAUGCUGUAGGUGGUGUGGUGGAAAGAUUAGUUUCGGUAAGGGAUGAGCUCGCGGCCUAUCAGCUUGUUGGUGGGGUAAUGGCCUACCAAGGCGUCGACGGGUAGCCGGCCUGAGAGGGUGGACGGCCACAUUGGGACUGAGAUACGGCUCAGACUCCUACGGGAGGCAGCAGUGGGGAAUAUUGCACAAUGGGCGCAAGCCUGAUGCAGCGACGCCGCGUGGGGGAUGACGGCCUUCGGGUUGUAAACUCCUUUCAGCCAUGACGAAGCCCUUGUGGUGACGGUAGUGGUAGAAGAAGCACCGGCUAACUACGUG
Molecule: ribosomal RNA, 469 nt
Filed under: uncultured bacterium
Lineage: Bacteria
Description: partial 16S ribosomal RNA
Rfam family: Bacterial small subunit ribosomal RNA
Source: RNAcentral